Molecule: long non-coding RNA, 7521 nt
Filed under: Nicotiana benthamiana
Lineage: Eukaryota; Viridiplantae; Streptophyta; Magnoliopsida; Solanales; Solanaceae
Description: long non-coding RNA (NBEN_LNC013698)
Source: RNAcentral
ACACCCCAAUUACCUAACCUAGCAGUUGUUUCCCCCAUCCGCAAAAGAGAACCCUUCCAUAUUUUUGAAAAUCAGUGACACUCCUUCUCUCACUCAGAUCAGAAGAAGAUCGGACCUUCCCUUACCAUGGCAGCUCUUUCUUCUUCGCUUCACUACAUGAAAAACACUAAAAAUUCUUGAAGGGCAGGCACCUAAUACGCCUAUUGUUGAGGUACCACCAGUAGAUCUAGCCGGAGUUCAAGCACCUAAUACGCCUAUAGCUACCUGUACUCCAGCCCUUCAGGAUACAUUAGCUCAGUUCAUAUCUAUAUACACUACCUUAGAUCAGGUGGGGUUGCUUCCCCUUGCUGCAACCACAUCCUAGGUUGGAGUAGGGGAUCAGACUUUCGCAGCCCACACUCCUGAGUAGAGAGUGCAUAUGGAGCAGGUCCUAGAGAUCAUUCCUGUGCCGCCUGCAAUGCCAGUUCAGCCCGAGGAUGGGUUAGCUUUUUCAAAGGAUGAGCAGCUGAGGCUUGAGAGGUUCAAGAUAUACGAGCCUCCUGUGUUCAGCGGUUUAGCAUCGGACGAUUACUUGGGAUUUCUAAAGGAGUACCAUCGUAUUCUUCGCACUAUGAGUAUAGUAGAGUCCAGCUGGGUUUCCUUUACUGCCUUUCAGCUUUGGGGAGCCGCAUGAUUGGUAGUGCACCUAUGAAAUAGACACUCCAUUCGAGGCUGCUUUGUUACUUGGACCCAGUUCUCGGAUAUGUUCAUGAGAAAGUUUGUGCCUCAAAGUCUGAAGAACGCAUGGCGCGCAGAGUUUGAGCAUUUGCGCCAGGGUGCUAUGACCGCUUCGGAGUAUGCUAUCCGUCAUACCAAAUUGGCUAGGCAUGCACAAACCUUGGUUGGUACUUUCCGUAAGAGGGUUUGUCGGUUCAUUGAGGGCCUUAUUCCUCCCACCAGAUCUAGCAUGGAUCGAGAGUUGUAGAUGGACAUUCCUUAUUAGCAGGUAGUGAGAACUGCUAGGAGGAUCGAGGGUAUGCUCACUAGGGAAUGAGAGGCCAAGAGGUCUCGAGAGUCGGGCCACUACUCAAGUGCUCGUACCCUAGUAAGAGGUCGACAUGGUUGGGGUUAUAUGGGUCGCCCCUUCAUUCAACUCUUACAUCAGCCACCAGUGCUCCAGCUCCUCCUAGUCCCCAGGAGCCUUACUAUGCACCUCCAAUUUCUAGCGCGCCUCCUGUGCUAGGUGCUUUAAAGGCCAUUCCAGCAGACCUGGCUCUAGCCAGUCACAAUGACCACGUCAUUCCAGAACGUUUUUUGAGCGUGGUGACACCCGCCAUGUGGUGAUGGAUUGACCUAGACUUGGGAGGAGUGCACCUCCAUAGACUGCUCAGCCACAUCGUGCUCCUCAGAGUUCUCAGGCCAUGAUCACAGCUCUAGCUGCCACCUCAUCUAUCCAGCCAGCUAGGGGUGGAUUUCCAAGAGGUACGGGUCGCCCUCGAGUAGUAGGCUAGUCCAGAUAUUAUGCCAUUCCUCCUCAUACCGCAGCUGUUGCCUCCGAUUCUAUCAUUACAUGUAUUAUACUAGUUUGUCACAGAGAUGUAUCGGUUCUAUUCUAUCCAGGCUCCACCUAUUCUUAUGUGUCUUAUUAUAUUUCUCAGCAUUUGGGUAUAUCCUGAGAUUCGUUGAGUUUCCCUAUUUAUGUUUCUACUUUUAUGGGAGAUUCUUUUUUGGUGGACUGCGUUUAUCGGUUGUGUUUGGUCACUAUUCGUGCAUUUAAGACCAGAGCAGAUUUAUUAUUACUCCGUAUGGUUGAUUUUGUUAUUAUUUUGGGCAUGGACUGGUUGUCGCCCCAUCAUACUAUUCUUGAUUGUCACGACAAGGCCGUGACGCUGGCUAUGCCAGGUAUUCCGCAUGUUGAGUGGAGUGGUACUUUAGAUCACACUCCAAUAGAGUUAUCUCUUUCCUUAAAGCUCAACGUAUGGUUAAGAAGGGGUGUGCAACGUAUUUAACCUAUAUGAGAGAUGUCAGUGUUGAUACCCCUUCUGUUGAGUCUGUCCCAGUGGUACGGGAUUAUUCCGAUAUGUUUCUAGCUGAUCUUCCGGGUAUGCCACCUGAUAGAGAUAUUGACUUUGGCAUUGAUUUGUUGCCGGGCAGUCAACCCAUUUCCAUUCCUCCGCAUCGUAUGGCUCCUCCUGAGUUUAAGGGGUUGAAGGAUCAGUUACCGAAAUUGAUUGAUAAGGAUUUUAUUCAACCUAGUGUUUCACCGUCGGAUGCUCCUGUCUUGGUUGCAAAGAAAAAAAAUGGUUCAAUGCGCAUAUGUAUCGAUUAUCGUAAGUUGAACAAGGUUACAGUGAAGAAUCGUUAUCCCUUACCUCGUAUUGAUGUUCUAUUUGAUCAGCAUCAGAGCAUACUGGUGUUUUCUAAGAUUGAUUUUUGCUCAGGGUACCACCAGUUAAAGAUUCGGGAGCCAGCUAUCUCGAAGACUGCCUUCAGCACUCGGUAGGGUCAUUAUGAGUUCCUUGUUAUGUCAUUUGGGGAAACCAAUGCCCCAACAGCUUUUAUGCAUUUGCUGCACAGUGUAUUCAAUGGUCAUUACGAGUUCCUUGUUAUGUCAUUAGGGCAAACCAAUGCCCCAACAACUUUUAUGCAUUAGAUGCACUGUGUAUUGAAGCCCUAUCUCGACACGUUCGUCAUUGGUUUCAUAGAUGAUAUUCUUGUAUACUCUUGGAGUCGGGAAGAUCAUGAGCAGCACCUGAGGAUAGUGCUUCAGACCUUGAGAUAGAAGAAGUUAUAUGAAAAGUUCUCAAUAUGCGAGUUUUGGUUGAGUUCUGUGGCAUUCUUGGGCCACGUGGUAUCGAGUGAGGUAAUUCAGGUAGAUCCGAAGAAGGUAGAGGCCGUGCAGAGUUGGCCCAGGCCAUUCUCAAGCUAAAGAGAUUCGUAGUUUUAUUGGCUUGGCAGGUUACUACCGUCAUUUUGUGUAGGGGUAUUCAUCGAUUGCACAAGAUGAGGUGGUUAGAGUUGCUGAAGGAUUAUGAUAUUACUAUUCUUUAUCACUCGGGCUAGGCUAAUGUUGUAGCCUAUGCCUUGAGUCGCUGGGCGGAGAGUUUGGCAUAUUUACCAGCUUCAGAGAGGCCUAUGGCGAUGGAUGUGCAGGCCUUAGCCAGUCAGUUUGUGAGAUUGGAUCUUUCGGAGCCCAGUCGGAUUCUAGCCUAUGUGGUUUUUCGGCCUUCAUUAUUCGAUCAUAUCAAUGAGCGGCAAUAUGAUGACCCUCAUUUACUGGUCCUCAGGGACAGUUUUCAGCACGGCAAUGCCGGAGAUGUGACCAUUGGAUGUGAUGGGAUAUUGAGGAUGCAUGGUCGGGUUUGCGUGCCCAAUGUUGAUUGGCUUCGGGAGUUGAUAUUAGCAGAGUCCCAUAGUUUGCGGUAUUCCAUCCAUCUGGGUGGUGCGAAGUUGUAUCAGGACUUGAGGCAGCACUAUCGGUGGAGGCGGAUGAAGAAGGAUAUAAUGUGAUAUAUAGCUAGAUGCCUCAGCUGUCAGCAGGUGAAGUAUGAGCACUAGAGACCAGUUGGGUUGCUUCAGCAGAUAGAGAUUCCAUAAUGGAAAUGGGAGAGGAUCACCAUGAUUUUGUAGUUAGUCUCCCUCGGACUGCGAAGAAGUUCGAUGCCAUUUAGGUGAUUGUGGAUCGGUUGACCAAGUCUGCUCAUUUUAUCAUUGUGUGUACUACUUAUUCAUCGGAGCGGUUGGCAGAGAUUUAUAUCAGGGUGAUUGUUCGAUUACAUGGCAUUCCAGUUUCUAUUAUUUCGGAUAGAGGUACUUAGUUCACAUCACGGUUCUAGAGAGCCGCUCAGUAGGAGUUGGGUACUUAGGUGACGAUGAGGAUAGUGUUUCACCCCCAGAUGGACAGACAAUCCGAGCGCACUAUUCAGAUUCUUGAAGAUAUGCUUCGUGCGUGUGUGAUUGAGUUUGGAGGAUCUGGGGAUCAGUUCUUGCCAUUGGCGUAGUUUGCUUAUAACAACAGUUAUCAGUCCAACGUUUAGAUGGCGCCGUAUGAGGCUUUAUAUGGUCAGAGAUGCAGAUCUCCGUUGGGUUGGUUUGAGCCGAACGAGGCCAGGCUAUUGGGCACAGAGGUUGUUUAGGAUGCAUUGGAGAAGGUUAAGGUGAUUCAGGAUAGUCUCCAUAUGGGCCAGUCCAGACAGAAGAGCUACGUGGGCAGGAAGGUCCGUGAUGUGCUAUAUAUGGUCGAAGAGCGGGUCUGCUUCGGGUUUCGUCUAUGAAGGGCGUUAUGAGGUUUGGGAAGAAAGGGAAGUUGAGUCCAAGAUUUAUUGGCCCUUUUGAGACAUUGAGGUGAGUUGGGGAGGUUGCUUAUGAGCUUGCCUUACCUCCGAGACUGGAAGUAGUUCAUCCGGUAUUUCAUGUUUCGAUGCUCCAGAGGUAUCUUGGUGAUCCAAAACACGUGUUGUAUUUCAGCUUAGUCCAGUUGGACAAGGCUCUAUCCUAUGUUAAGGAGCCAGUGUCUAUAUUGGUCAGGCAUGUCAGAAAGUUGAGGUCAAAGAACAUUGCUUCAGUAAAGGUUCACUGGCGGGAUCAGCCGACCGAGGAGGCAACUUGGGAUACCGAGUGGGAUAUGCACAGCCAAUAUCCUCAUCUUUUCACUACUUCAGGAAUGUUCUCUAUGCUCGUUUGAGGACGAACAAAUGUUUAUGUGUAGGAGGAUGUGACGACCCGGCCACUCGUUGUUGGAAUUUAUGCCCCGAUGCCCAAUUAAGUGCUUCCCCUAAGUUCAUUUCUUUUAUUUUGGUUUGCUGGGACGUUUAGUGCUGGGUUUUGGAGAGCUUUGGGACACUUAAGCCUAAAUGAGAGCUUAAGUGUGGAUAGUGGUCCGUAGUAAGAAAAGUAUGAGAACAACCUCGGAAUGGAAAUUUGAUGGCUCCGUUAGCUCAGUUAGGUGAUUUCGAGGCAGGGAGCAUAUUCAGAAUGUAUUUUAGAAGUUGUAGCUCAAUUAGGCUUGAAAUGGCAAAGUUUGAAUGGGUAGGGAGCAUAUUCAGAAUGUAUAUUAGAAGUUUGUUGCUCAAUUAGGCUUGAAAUGGCAAAGUUUGAAAUUUUAAAGUUUUCGGUCCGAUAGUGAGUUUUUGAUCCAAGGGUCGGAAUAAAAUUCUGGAAGUUGAAAUAACUCCAACAUGUCGUUUGGUAUGUUUGUGCGAAAUUUCAGGUCAUUCGAACGUGUUUUGGUUAGGUUUUUGAUCGAAAUCAUGAUUAGAUGAAAUUUGAAGUUCUUAGGCUCAAAUCAUUGAUUAAUUCGAGUUUCUGGCAUUGUUUUAGGUGGUUUAAGGAUUUGUACAAGUUUGAAUUGUGUUAUGGGAUAUGUCAAUAGGUAUAGUUGAGGUUCUGGGGGUCUCGGGUGUGUUUGGGAGGCUCAACGAAGCAUUUUAAAGUUUGAAAAAUUUCCAUUCAGUAGUUGCAGGUCCAAGUUCUUUCUUUGCGUUCGCGACACUCCCAUCUCAUUCGCGUAGCUCUGGCUUUCCCUUUCUUCGCAGUGUCUUCCUCCUCCACACGUUUGCGUAGAGUAAUUCUGGAGGAGUACCAGUCUCUUCAACACGUUUGUGUUCACGAAGUUUCAUGUUUCCACCCAUCGCGUUCGCGUUCCGACUGACGCGUUCUCGUAGCUUUGUGGUUCCAGUCCUUCGCGUUCGCAGUCAUUUACUCGCAUUCUUAAAGGGCAGUUUUGUCAGAAUCCAUUUCCCUUCUCCGCAAAUGCGAGAAUUCCUCUGCGUUUGCGAUGCAUUAAAUACCUGGACAAUAUGAAAUCAUUCAAAAAUGAUGGUUAGCCAUUUUUAUCAGAAUACAAGAUUGAGAGCUCGGAUUUGGGAGUAAUUUCGAUGGUUUUUCAAGGGAAACUACUAGGCAAUGAUUCUGUACUCUCAUAUGCUUAAAACCCACUAAUCUAAUCACAAAUUUAUCCUUAGUUUCAGAUUUUUGAAUGAAAAUUGGGGAAAACUUCUUAGACCAAACUAUUGAGUUUUGAGUGGGUGUUUGACCUCUAUAUUGGGAGAUUUUUAUAUGGUUAGACUCGUGAAAGUACGAGGGUUCUGAAAAUAAUAAAAUUAUCUUAUUCCAAGACGUUUUCCUGAGGGGAGUUUUUGUUAUUUUACCUAUUUUCGCGCCCUAUAUUUGAAUUAAAUUGUUGGUUCAGUUGCUUGCGAUGUUAUUUACGAUAUGUAAUUGAAUUGAAUAGAUUUGGGCCAUUCGGAGUCGGAUACUCGUGGAAAAGGCAUAAUUUCUAGUUGAUUUUGUAUCGGUUCGAGGUAAGUGGCUUGUCUAACCAUUCGAAGUCGGAUACUCGUGGAAAAGGCAUAAUUUCUAGUUGAUUUUGUAUCGGUUCGAGGUUUGUGGCUUGUCUUACCUUGCGUGGGGGACCGUUCCCCUUAGGACAUGAUAAUUGAUAUUUUAAUGCCUCGUACGUGAGGUGACAGAUAAAUUCCAAUCGUUUAAGCAUAAUUUAUAUAAGAGUUAAACUAUUUAGCUAAAACUUAUCAAAAAGUAUAUUUGCAUUUAGAAUACUGCAAUCUUUUAAGUAUUUACAAAAUUUGCAGUUGGUAUACGUCUGAUUAGCAAAACGCAAUAUAUUCCCUCUAUUUACAUUUUUGAAUUUAUUAAAAAAAGAGUGACAUGUUUUAUAAUUAGAAAUAUUUUAAUUAUACUCUUAGUUUUACUCUUAAUAAUGACAUGUUCUUGGGCAUAAAAUCCGGACAUAUUUAAAUGAAAUUUCUACAUUUCUGUACACUAUAUGAAAUUAUAUUACCUUCUGUGUGCACAUAAUUUUUGCUCUGCUUGGAAAUAACUCCUAAAAAUUGACCAAAAAUAAUUUUAUUGUAUUUUAGGAUUUUUUUCUUUAUUUAGUUGCAUUUCAUGUAUGUAUAAUAUUUUAAAAUCAUAAGAAAAACCAUAAAAAUUAUCACAUUUUAAUUUCAUGCCAUCUUAGGUUUAAUUUGCAUUUAGAAAUUAGUUACAUUGCUAAAAGCAUCAUUUAAAUAACUAAAAGAAAUACAUUCUCAUGUUAGAUAAUUAAUUAGACAAAAUAAAUAAAUUAUUUGGCCAUAUAAAUUAGAUUAAACUAAAUUAGAGUUUAAAGUGGCUAAAAUUUCUAAAAUCAAGGGAGCGAAAUAAAAGGUUUUCAUUUGGUUUUGUUUUAAAUUUGGGCCACAAAUCAUUUCUAAUGCCCAACGGCACACAAUUCGCCCCAAAUCCUCCAGCCUAAUCCCCACCGACCCUCUUGGUCCAAAUGAGUUCAUUAUUAUACUUUAAAAUCCUUAACCCUAAAGACUCAAGGGAGACUAAGAAUAAACACGCCCAAUUACCUAACCUUGCAGUUGUUUCCACCAUCCGCAAAAGAGAUUCCUUCCAUAUUUUUGAAAAUCAGUGACACUCCUUCUCUCACUCAGAUAAGAAGAAGAUCGGACCUUCCCUUACCAUGGCAGCUCUUGCUUCUUCGCUUCAUCACAUGAAAAACACUAAAAAUUCUUGAAUCAGAAAUUUGGAAAACUC